Malaclemys terrapin pileata is the source of this 391-nucleotide long non-coding RNA. RefSeq lists it as uncharacterized. Lineage: Eukaryota; Metazoa; Chordata; Testudines; Emydidae. The transcript is spliced from 2 exons. The record is from RefSeq and is a predicted model, not a curated record.
CAAAAUGGGUACAGGUGAGCUGCCCUUUUUACAUUUUCAUAAUAACAGUGGAAUGCUAUUGCCCCCUAUAUUAUCGUCUUAAAUUUGAUUUAAUUAAAACCAAAGUGACACUAACAGAAGGGUGUGCUGUCUACCGGGUGCAAAGAUACGCGAUGUGGACCUGCGGUUGAAAAGGAUCCUAAAAGGAGCAGGGCUUUGGAGCGGAGCCCGGAGCUGGAGCGCGGAGCAGCUCCAGAGCAGUGGAGCUGCAGGAUUUUGCCUGGAGCUGGAGUGGAGCAGGAGCACCGCUUCAAAGCCCUGUAUUUCAUUUGAUCAAAUAUGACUUAUUGUGCUUUGACUUAUAAUCACUUAAAAUCUAUCAUUUGUAGUUAAUAAAUUCGUUUGUUUAUUC